Molecule: ribosomal RNA, 232 nt
Filed under: uncultured bacterium
Lineage: Bacteria
Description: partial 16S ribosomal RNA
Rfam family: Bacterial small subunit ribosomal RNA
Source: RNAcentral
UAACGGCCCACCAUGGCGACGAUCAGUAGCCGGACUGAGAGGUUGACCGGCCACAUUGGGACUGAGAUACGGCCCAGACUCCUACGGGAGGCAGCAGUGGGGAAUAUUGGGCAAUGGACGCAAGUCUGACCCAGCAACGCCGCGUGAAGGAAGAAGGCCCUCGGGUUGUAAACUUCUUUUGACAGGGACGAAACAAAUGACGGUACCUGUCGAAUAAGCCACGGCUAACUAC